AGUAGUCUGGUCUGAAUAAUCAUUGUUAUUCCUGCGUCGACUGAUGUACGUAGUACUAUUAUUAUACAAGUGACCGUUUUAAUUUCAGUCGAGUUUAACAGUGUUUAACAUAGUGUUCACACAAACAUCUUGGAGAUUUUGCGAGUUCAUUGGUGACUCUGUGUCAGUGCCUACUCUGGAGAUGGUACACAUAGGUAAUGGGUCUCCAAAGCACCGAAUUGGAUCGCGUUAUCAGGAGAUGGGAUCUUUACUCCUCUUGCUGGGCGGUGCCCCCCAAGGGGUGGAGGGACUCCCUCGAACUUUUCUUAAUAAAUUUUUUCUUCAAAAUUUAAUUAAAGCAUUAUAGUUCAUAGCGCAAUUUAAAGCAGUUAAAGCAGCGAGUUCAUAGUUCAAUUAGUCCUUUUUUCAUUCUGAUAGCGCAUUAAUGGGUAAAUAAAGUUCUAGUGUAAUUAGUUUGUAAUCUUAAUACUUCAUAUACUUUAUAUAUACUUUAAACUUAAUUGACAAUUUAGCACAGUCGCUAUAGCGUAAGAAUAUAAAAUUUUCUAUGAGUUUUUAACUAAAAGUAUUUCAGUUCCAGGGAGUUGGUUAAAACUUAGACAUACUUUCUAUCUUAGGCUACAAAUUUUGAUACUUUAUUGUAACUGCGUCAGUUGUGUAAACUUUAAGAAUUCACAUUGUCCAUUAGUCUAUAUUAAGUUUUGAUAGAAAGUAAUAGCAAACAUUUUGCAGCCCUUGUUUUAUUUUAGGUAAAUCCACAGAAGCGGAUGUGGCUUGGAAGGCCAUUUUGAAAGGAAACCUCUUAGAUUAUUGGUUUCAACGGAGACUUCUCUUGGAGUAGUGGUUUCGCGUCUCGCGAACUUAAAUGCAUGAACAUAAUUGAAAGUGGCUUAUCUUAGUUGCGCUGUUAUUUACCGGGAUCUAACUUGAUUCACAACCGCAUUCGGCGUUUCCACGUCGCCUGCCCGAGUUUUUCGCACCGGAGUCUUCUUAAAUUUUCGAAUGGUUCUUAGAAGUUCUAACUGGUGCAACCAAUUGCCAAGAGUGAUACAUAUGCAAGCUUAGGAUGUUUUGCGUGUCCUGGACAGGAAGAAACUAGUAUUGACCCUACGGCCAUAAACAUAUGCAGUUGGGAUGGUGCUAGGCUUCUAAUGCUUCCAUGGGAUUCCCCUGUAGUAUCUCGGAUAAGAGUAAUAAUGAAGUGUGCUUUUAAAACCA
Macrobrachium nipponense is the source of this 1218-nucleotide long non-coding RNA. RefSeq lists it as uncharacterized. The record is from RefSeq and is a predicted model, not a curated record. The transcript has 3 exons. Lineage: Eukaryota; Metazoa; Arthropoda; Malacostraca; Decapoda; Palaemonidae.